UAAUUCAUACUAAAUGAUCAAAUUAAAGCUCAAAUCAAGACCCAAAUCGAUGCAUGAACAUGUAUAAAUGAUCACCUAGUCAAGGGGAUCAUAAGCAAUGUCUUAUGGAACUCCGGAUGAGGAUCAAGUAAGAAAGGAGAACCGAACACAUGUCUCGAAGCUUCCUCAACGAUCUUAUUUUGUUCUAGUUUAAAAAGUGGAUAUUGUAAACACUUGAAAUUAUAUUUUGGAAUGUUUUAAAUUAUGUAAGAAGUUUAACUUGGAAAAGUUUUUGUAA
Helianthus annuus (common sunflower) is the source of this 277-nucleotide long non-coding RNA. RefSeq lists it as uncharacterized. The record is from RefSeq and is a predicted model, not a curated record. Lineage: Eukaryota; Viridiplantae; Streptophyta; Magnoliopsida; Asterales; Asteraceae. The transcript is spliced from 2 exons.